Sus scrofa (pig) is the source of this 3551-nucleotide non-coding RNA. The record is from RefSeq and is a predicted model, not a curated record. NCBI's taxonomy places the organism in Eukaryota, Metazoa, Chordata, Mammalia, Artiodactyla, Suidae.
CAUUCUCAUGGAGACUAUGUUGGAUUCUUAACCCACUGAGCCACAAUGGGAAUUCCUAUUGGCCCAUUUUCCAAUAGGCGAAAGUAUACUUAAGGAGACUGGCAGUUUCAACCUUAUGUAAUCCAUGCAGCUGGGUAUAUACUCACGAUAAAUGAAAAUAUAUAUCCAUGCAGAAACUAUUAUACAAAUAUUUAUAGCAGUAUUAUACACAAUAGCCAAAGGGUGAAAAAAACUCAAUCGCCUAUCAAGAGAUGACUGGAUAUACACACUGUGGUAUAUACAUGCAACAGAACAUUAUUCAGUUAUAAAAAGAAAUGAAGCAUUGAAACAUGCUACAAAUCAGAUGAAAACACCAUGUUAAGUGAAAGAAGCCAGAUACAAAGUUCACAUAUUAUAUAAUUUCUUUCAUGUGAAAUGAAUACCCAGAAUAGGCAAGUCCAUGGAGGCAGAUUAGUGGAAGGGGAAUGAGGAAUGAUUACUUAAUGGAUAUAUUUCUGUUUUGAAACUAGAGAGAAAAAGUUUUGAAACUUCAGAGAAACAUUGGUUGUACAAUACUGUGAAUGCCUCCGAAUUGCGCGCUUUAAGAUAUGUCAUUAAUUUUAUGUUGUGUAGAAUUCACCUCAAUUUUUUAAAAAACACAUCCGACUCAAAGCAUCACAGAGCUCUAAUCUUUUUCUUCAGAAGUCUCCCCAUAUACAACAGAACAAAACCCCAAGUACUUAUUUUGGCAUUCAAGACCUUUUACAACUUGUCCUAAACUAUAUCCACUCUCCUCCACUCCAAAUUUCCACUACUUCAAGUCCUCUAUGCUCCAGUCACACUGAAUGGUAGCUCAAUAUUGCCCAAACAUGUGGGCAUAACCUUGCAUUGCAAUGUUCUUUCAUAACUAACUGCAUAUGCUAUUCUUCCCAGCUACGCUAUGAGCAUCACAAAGGAAGAGACAACAACUGAUUCAUCUUGUCCUUUCCAGAUCUAACCCUGGGACUGGUAUUAAGAAAUGAGAAGAGCUAAAUCAGAUAUCCUGGACUUUCUAUGGACCUGCCUUCAAUGGAGGGAGAGGUCCUGACAAAGAACACAAAGGACCCCUGGAAGUAAUGAGAGGAAGUGGAGAACACAGACUCUGGAGUCUGACAUCACCAUGCAGGUCUGCAUACCUCUGCAGAGUCAAAUGGAUAAAGCAUGAUAAUGCAAAGAAGAGCCUUACCCACACAGUAGAUAGAUAAAUCAAUGAUAGUUUGUCUGCUCUUUCCCAACACCAGAAACCGGCUGAGACAAUCAGGUGAUAAAAUCAGCAGGACAUCAAACAUCUGGAAUUGAAAACCAAUAAUGGUGGUUAAAAGAAAAUGUUCUGUUUUUAAAUAAAUGUGCAUGAAUAGUAAUAUUAAAAAUGGAAAAAUAUAGCUUGGAGACUUGUUCACUGUGUUUGGGCCCUAGUCUUUUGCUGAUUACAGCAUAAAUUGAGAAUGGGUAAAUGUUUCACCAUGGACAAAGCUUUAUAUGCUGAAUAUAGAUUUUCUAAUGCUUGAGUUUCCAUUAGAGUUUACAUUUAUGUACUUAAUGCCUGAGAGGAUGCUUGACUAAUAUAUUAUAUCAUUGUGAGUUCACUUUUUUAAAGAUGAGUUUAAAAGAUGGAAAAUGAGCUUUAGAAGCUAACAGAAUAAAGAGACUUAAAUAGCAAGAAAGCUAUAACUCUGGAGCCCCAGAUUAUCCUGAUGUAUUAAAUUAAAAAUUUUUCAAUCUUAUAACUUGUUCUAUUCUUUGCUCUCCACUGACAAGAAAAUGAUUUUUAUAGGAAAUCUUUAAAAUAUUGGUUCUUCAUUCAUAUAGUAAUUAGACUGGAAGGACAAAACUGUAAACUUCUUGGAAGCAAAAGAAAACACUAGGUUUUCAAACAUGGAGAAAUGGAAAUAAAAGUGAUCUGGAGUAUGUACUUUGUGCUAGCCACCCUGCUAGGUAAUUUUGAAUGUGUCAUAUCUGAGCCAUUACCAUUGCAUCGUAGGUAUUAUUAGCCCAUUUCACAGAUAAAAUGCAUAAACUUUGGAUGACUCACCCAAGAUCACAUGGAUGGUAAAGGGGAGAGUCAUGAAUCUUUACUAGUGUAGGCCCUACCUUCUGUACAAGAGGCACUGGAAAUACAUCUAUAUUUAGAGUCAGAAGAUGGGGUUUAGGACCAGGUCUUUUUUUUUUUUUUCUACUGUACAGCAUGGUGACCCAGUUACACAUACAUGUAUACAUUCUUUUUUCUCACAUUAUCAUGCUCCAACAUAACCCCAUGUGGCUCACAACAUAACUACUUGGCAUUGCUUCUACAGUGGCUGUGGCUCAAUCCCUGGUUCAGGACCCAGGUCUUUACUCAUGAGUAUUUAGAGUUUAGUCAAGGCAUAGCACUGUCUAGGGUUUAAUUUCUUCAUGUAUAAAAUGAGAACCCUAGCACCUCAGGGUACUGUGAGCUGUGAAAGUGAUUUUUAAGCUGCCAAAGGCAAUUGAAGAAGGCUCGUCUGAAAGGUGGUGAUACCCUAUAACCCACCUCUCAGAAUAAACAUGAGGAGUCAUUGGACACUGGAUGUCACAGUCAAUGCAAGCCCAAGGCAGGAGCCUGAAAAGAUGAGUUAUCAACAUUCCUAGGAGUUUUGCAGAGCUCAAGAACUCAAUAAAACAUUUCUUACAAGUUUGGAUUUUCUAAGAUAGUUAGUGUAGCAUACCUGAGUUCAGAAGCCCAGAGAAUACCUUCAGACUGUAGUUUAGGAAAUGAGAACUUUGAGAAGCUAAUAUGGCACAGUCUUUAGUCAAAUACAUCCCAUUAUUAGAUUUGUGAGGAACCGUGGAAAUUACAUAGGACCAAACUUUCAUUUUGCAGAUGAGGGAAGUGAGGCUUAGAUGUACAGCUCAUCAGUAGCAGAGGUGAGACUAGAACUCACAUCUCCUGACCCUGAGUUUGUGUUCUUUUCUACCAAAUUCAUUGUUCUUCUAACUUCAUUUAGACUCAGGAAUGGCAUAGAUACCAAAGUCAAAGACAAAGUAUUAAUUACUAAGCCUACAAGUAAAAAUCUAUGUGGGUUUACCCUUACUGAAUGACUUGAGGAAAGCUACUUCAUACUUGUCUCAGUAGCCUGUAAAAUGAGUUAUAAUAAUACUGAUUUCAGAGGUUAUUGUGAGGAUAAUACAGGAAAAGUUCUUAGCAUAGUCUUCUUACUGUGCUGGUAACUGCUCAACUCUUGUUGGUUAUCAUACAAUCACCAAUCUUCUACAUGCCAUAAAACCCAGUAAUGUGACUACCUGUGUGUCUCCUUUUUAGGGUAAACCCUGAACUAGCAGGGACCCUAUCAGGAGACACCCUGCAUGUAACUUGCGUAGACCCUGUUGGGGGUCAGUCUGUUUAUUUCACUUUAUCUAGAGUUUGAAGCAAUCAUAACAUGAGAGGAUGAGGCUAGACUUGGAGGGAAAAGAGGAGGUGAAGCUUUCAUUUUGAGCAUUUGAGCCUGAGUCCCAGUUUCUUUUCCUACAGAUGAGGAUAUUAAUAUCCAUUCUUUUUAACUUUGUGGUACUCAAAG